GGGAAGGUAGCUCAGUGGUAGAGUGCUUGCCUUGCAUGCAGGAGGCCCUGGGUUCGAUUCCUCAGCACCA
Dipodomys ordii (Ord's kangaroo rat) is the source of this 70-nucleotide non-coding RNA. The record is from Rfam. Lineage: Eukaryota; Metazoa; Chordata; Mammalia; Rodentia; Heteromyidae.